This 405-nucleotide ribosomal RNA is filed under the name uncultured bacterium. RNAcentral's name for it is "partial 16S ribosomal RNA". It matches the Rfam family "Bacterial small subunit ribosomal RNA", at positions 30 to 526 of the family's 1533-position model. The record is from RNAcentral.
AUUGAACGCUAGCGGGAGGCUUUACACAUGCAAGUCGAGCGAGUGGCGGACGGGUGAGUAAUAUAUCGGAACGUGCCCAGUAGCUGAGGAUAACUACUCGAAAGAGAUGCUAAUACCGCCUACUUUUGGAGCGGCCGGUAUCGCAUUAGCUAGUUGGUGGGGCAAAGGCUCACCAAGGCAACGAGCCGUAGCUGGUUUGAGAGGACGACCAGACACACUGGGACUGAGACACGGUCCAGACUCCUACGGGAGGCAGCAGUGGGGAAUUUUGGACAAUGGGCGAAAGCCUGAUCCAGCCAUGCCGCGUGUAUGAGAAGGCCUUCGGGUUGUAAAGUACUUUUGGCAGAGAAGCGGUAUCUGCAGAAUAAGCACCGGCUAACUACGUGCCAGCAGCUGCGGUAAUAC